GUACACGCUGUGACUAGCAUAUCAAUAAGCGGAGGAAAAGAAACUAACAAGGAUUCCCCUAGUAACGGCGAGUGAAGCGGGAAGAGCUCAAAUUUGAAAUCUUAAAGGGUUUCCCUUUACGAAUUGUAGUUUAAAGAAGUGUUUUCUGUUGAGGUUUUGGUAAAAGUUCUUUGGAAUAGGACAUCAUAGAGGGUGAGAAUCCCGUAUUUGACCUUUACUUUCAACUUUGUGAUACACUUUCAAAGAGUCGGAUUGUUUGGGAAUGCAGUCCAAAAUGGGUGGUAAAUUUCAUCUAAAGCUAAAUAUUGGCGAGAGACCGAUAGCGAACAAGUACCGUGAGGGAAAGAUGAAAAGAACUUUGAAAAGAGAGUUAAACAGUACGUGAAAUUGUCAAAAGGGAAGCGUUUGACACCAGUGUUGUUUUUCUGAAAAUCAAUUAAAGAACUGUUUAUGCUAAGCUGUUUAGACUUUAUCAGCUAUCUGUUUAGUUUUGAGCUUUUCUUUAAUGCACUUUUCAGUUAACAAGUCAACAUCAAUUUCUUUUGCUGUAAAAAAGCUUGAGGAAGGUGGCUUGAGAUUCGUCUUAAGUGUUUAUAGCCUCUUGCCUAUGCAGUCGGAGAGAUUGAGGUCUGCAGCGUAGAUCCUUCGGGGCUAAAUGCAUUUGUGCUAAGUUAUAGCAUUUUAUAGACAACUUGUUGACUAUGAUUUGUCUUGUAGCUUACUCGCUUAUGUUAUUUUACCUACGCUUAGGAUGUUGAUAUGCAUGACUGAUAU
This 774-nucleotide ribosomal RNA is filed under the name uncultured Neocallimastigales. RNAcentral describes it as "partial large subunit ribosomal RNA". It matches the Rfam family "Eukaryotic large subunit ribosomal RNA", at positions 22 to 640 of the family's 3401-position model. Lineage: Eukaryota; Fungi; Neocallimastigomycota; Neocallimastigomycetes; Neocallimastigales. The record is from RNAcentral.